GGGCUUGUAGCGCAGUGGUAGCGCGCCUGCUUUGCAAGCAGGAGGUCGAGGGUUCAAAUCCCUCCAAGUCCA
This 72-nucleotide transfer RNA is filed under the name Candidatus Omnitrophota bacterium. Its description in RNAcentral is "tRNA-Ala". It matches the Rfam family "tRNA". From Rfam's summary of the family: Transfer RNA (tRNA) molecules are approximately 80 nucleotides in length. Their secondary structure includes four short double-helical elements and three loops (D, anti-codon, and T loops). Further hydrogen bonds mediate the characteristic L-shaped molecular structure. tRNAs have two regions of fundamental functional importance: the anti-codon, which is responsible for specific mRNA codon recognition, and the 3' end, to which the tRNAs corresponding amino acid is attached (by aminoacyl-tRNA synthetases). tRNAs cope with the degeneracy of the genetic code in two manners: having more than one tRNA (with a specific anti-codon) for a particular amino acid; and 'wobble' base-pairing, i.e. permitting non-standard base-pairing at the 3rd anti-codon position. The record is from RNAcentral. RNAcentral also lists the same sequence under 1 other name. Lineage: Bacteria; Pseudomonadati; Candidatus Omnitrophota.